CAAUAGCGUAUAUUAAAGUUGUUGCAGUUAAAAAGCUCGUAGUUGGAUUUCUGGUUGAAGCGACCGGUCGGGCGUUGAUUCGUCUGCACUGGAGUCGGUUUUGGCCAUCCUCUAGGAAAGUGCGUCUGGUAUUAAGUUAUCGGGCGUAUGAUCCUGGUCUUUUACUGUGAAAAAAUUAGAGUGUUUAAAGCAGGCCUUCGCCUUGAAUACAUUAGCAUGGAAUAAUAAGAUAGGACUUUGGUCUAUUUUGUUGGUUUGCAGAUCGAAGUAAUGAUUAAUAGGGAUAGUUGGGGGUAUUUAUAUUCCGAUGUCAGAGGUGAAAUUCUUAGAUUUUCGGAAGAUAAACUUAUGCGAAAGCAUUUACCAAGGAUGUUUUCAUUAA
Molecule: ribosomal RNA, 382 nt
Filed under: uncultured eukaryote
Lineage: Eukaryota
Description: partial 18S ribosomal RNA
Rfam family: Eukaryotic small subunit ribosomal RNA
Source: RNAcentral